AAUCUCAAGCAGUGUUUUCCGCUUCGGACCAUGCCUAAGUCCCUUGGAAAAGGGCAUCAUAGAGGGUGAUAAUCCCGUACAUGGCAUGGAGCGCCCGAAGCUUUGUGAUACGCUUUCUAAGAGUCGAGUUGUUUGGGAAUGCAGCUCAAAAUGGGUGGUAAAUGCCAUCUAAGGCUAAAUAUUGGGGAGAGACCGAUAGCGAACAAGUACAGUGAUGGAAAGAUGAAAAGAACUUUGAAAAGAGAGUUAAACAGUACGUGAAAUUGCCAAAAGGGAAGGGUAGGAGGUCAGAGAUGCGGCCUGGGAUUCAGCCUUGCUUUUGCUUGGUGUUUUUCCCAGAUUGCAGGCCAACGUCGGUUUUGGGCACUGGAGAAGGGUAGGAGGAACGUGGCACCUCUCGGGGUGUGUUAUAGCCUCCUACUGGAUACAGCGACCGAGACCGAGGACAGCAGCGUACUCGCAAGAGCGGGCCUUCGGGCACCUUUACGCUUAGGGCGUUGGCAUAAUGGCCCUCUACCACCCGUCUUG
RNAcentral lists this ribosomal RNA (528 nucleotides) under Moesziomyces rugulosus. Its description in RNAcentral is "eukaryotic LSU rRNA". It matches the Rfam family "Eukaryotic large subunit ribosomal RNA", at positions 147 to 656 of the family's 3401-position model. The record is from RNAcentral. Lineage: Eukaryota; Fungi; Basidiomycota; Ustilaginomycetes; Ustilaginales; Ustilaginaceae.